AGAGUUUGAUCAUGGCUCAGAUUGAACGCUGGCGGCAUGCUUUACACAUGCAAGUCGAGCGGCAGCGCGGGGGCAACCCUGGCGGCGAGCGGCGAACGGGUGAGGAAUACAUCGGAACGUACCCCGGAGUGGGGGAUAACCCAGCGAAAGUUGGGCUAAUACCGCAUAUGCUCUGAGGAGGAAAGUGGGGGACUCGCAAGGGCCUCACGCUCUGGGAGCGGCCGAUGUCCGAUUAGCUUGUUGGUGGGGUAAUGGCUUACCAAGGCGACGAUCGGUAGCUGGUCUGAGAGGAUGGUCAGCCACACUGGGACUGAGACACGGCCCAGACUCCUACGGGAGGCAGCAGUGGGGAAUUUUGGACAAUGGGGGCAACCCUGGUCCAGCCAUGCCGCGUGCGGGAAGAAGGCCUUCGGGUUGUAAACCGCUUUUGGCCGGGAAGAAAAGGCGCCACCUAAUACGGGGCGUUCUUGACGGUACCGGCAGAAUAAGCACCGGCUAACUACGUGCCAGCAGCCGCGGUAAUACGUAGGGUGCGAGCGUUAAUCGGAAUUACUGGGCGUAAAAGCGUGCGCAGGCGGUCUGUUAUGUCUGAUGUGAAAGCCCCGGGCUCAACCUGGGAAUGGCAUUGGAAACUGGCAGGCUCGAGUAUGGCAGAGGGGGGUGGAAUUCCGCGUGUAGCAGUGAAAUGCGUAGAGAUGCGGAGGAACACCGAUGGCGAAGGCAGCCCCCUGGGCCAAUACUGACGCUCAGGCACGAAAGCGUGGGGAGCAAACAGGAUUAGAUACCCUAGUAGUCC
Molecule: ribosomal RNA, 796 nt
Filed under: uncultured bacterium
Lineage: Bacteria
Description: bacterial SSU rRNA
Rfam family: Bacterial small subunit ribosomal RNA
Source: RNAcentral